This 327-nucleotide ribosomal RNA is filed under the name uncultured eukaryote. RNAcentral describes it as "partial 18S ribosomal RNA". It matches the Rfam family "Eukaryotic small subunit ribosomal RNA", at positions 1470 to 1796 of the family's 1831-position model. The record is from RNAcentral.
CCCUUAGAUGUUCUGGGCCGCACGCGCGCUACACUGACGAAUGCAACGAGCUUAUAACCUUGGCCGAAAGGUCUGGGUAAUCUCCAAAUUGCGUCGUGAUGGGGAUAGAUUAUUGCAAUUAUUAAUCUUCAACGAGGAAUGCCUAGUAAGCGCAAGUCAUCAGCUUGCGUUGAUUACGUCCCUGCCCUUUGUACACACCGCCCGUCGCUCCUACCGAUUGAAUGGUCCGGUGAAGCGUUCGGACCGUGGCCUUUGGACGGUUCGCCGUCUGUUGGCUGCGGGAAGUUCGUUAAACCUUAUCAUUUAGAGGAAGGAGAAGUCGUANCA